RNAcentral lists this ribosomal RNA (484 nucleotides) under uncultured bacterium. RNAcentral's name for it is "partial 16S ribosomal RNA". It matches the Rfam family "Bacterial small subunit ribosomal RNA", at positions 30 to 507 of the family's 1533-position model. The record is from RNAcentral.
AUUGAACGCUGGCGGCAGGCCUAACACAUGCAAGUCGAGCGGAUGAAGGGAUCUUGCUCCUGGAUUCAGCGGCGGACGGGUGAGUAAUGCCUAGGAAUCUGCCUGGUAGUGGGGGAUAACGUCCGGAAACGGGCGCUAAUACCGCAUACGUCCUGAGGGAGAAAGUGGGGGAUCUUCGGACCUCACGCUAUCAGAUGAGCCUAGGUCGGAUUAGCUAGUUGGUGGGGUAAAGGCCUACCAAGGCGACGAUCCGUAACUGGUCUGAGAGGAUGAUCAGUCACACUGGAACUGAGACACGGUCCAGACUCCUACGGGAGGCAGCAGUGGGGAAUAUUGGACAAUGGGCGAAAGCCUGAUCCAGCCAUGCCGCGUGUGUGAAGAAGGUCUUCGGAUUGUAAAGCACUUUAAGUUGGGAGGAAGGGCAGUAAGUUAAUACCUUGCUGCUUUGACGUUACCAACAGAAUAAGCACCGGCUAACUUCGUG